Molecule: long non-coding RNA, 289 nt
Filed under: Nicotiana benthamiana
Lineage: Eukaryota; Viridiplantae; Streptophyta; Magnoliopsida; Solanales; Solanaceae
Description: long non-coding RNA (NBEN_LNC011998)
Source: RNAcentral
UUCUGAUGACACCAUCGAACAUCUUGAUUCGGAUUGAACCAAUCCCUGCAAUUUUAUAUGGUGCAUCAUCGCCCAUUAAAACAGAACCACCUUCGAUAGGUUGAUAGUUGAUAAACCGACUUCUGUUUGGACUCAUGCGAAAAGUACACGCUGAGUCAAGAAUCCAUUCGUCAUUGGUUUUGGCACAUCCGGCAAAAGCUACAAGAACUUCUCCGUUGGAAUUUUCUUCAACAGCAUAGGAUGCUUUUCCUUCAUCAUCUUGACUUGGUUUUGAGUUGUUGGUGGAAGC